Xiphophorus hellerii (green swordtail) is the source of this 2923-nucleotide long non-coding RNA. RefSeq lists it as uncharacterized. The transcript has 6 exons. The record is from RefSeq and is a predicted model, not a curated record. Lineage: Eukaryota; Metazoa; Chordata; Actinopteri; Cyprinodontiformes; Poeciliidae.
CUCAAGCAUGACUCUGCUGGGGGGUCCGGGCUGAGGGAGGGGCCCCGCUCGGCUGUCUGCUCUCCUGCCCUCCUUGGUUUAGUCAUUUAUCUCGGUGGUCUGCAGGUUUCUGUUACCAGCAAACGCUUCAUGCAGCACAGCGAAGCCCCCUGGGAGUCAAAACACGACGUGAUGUUGGUCUGCGGCUUCAGCAGCGUCACGAACAAUGUCAAUGCUUUUUUUCUGAGGUAAACCGUAUGACGGAGUUUCAGCUCUACUGGAGGAUUUCUGGGGAUUGGAUCCUGACCGACUGUUAAAUCCGGGUCACCUGGUAAUAAGUGAACCUGGGCUGGUUCUUAUAUUACUCUGUGACCUUCUGGCCUCUGAACAUGUAGGCAAAAGUUUGAGUCCCGCUUUGUGUGGCUGUGAAGAUUCAGAAACGCUGAAUACUGGGAAUCAUUUGGCAAGAAAAUCAAACAGGAAGCUGCGUUUGUCUGCAGGGUGAGAAUAUCGUUUACUUCAUUUCUAAUAAGGAAAUAUGUCAGAAAAUACCUGGAAGGAUCACAGUGAGGAUGGAUUCAGCACAGAUUCGCUCCAAACAUGUAAAUGUUUAAACAUCUUCCAGUUUGAUUUGUUUUUAUGAAGUUAAACGCAGCCAGCAGUCUUCUUCCUCUUCCUCUUCCUCGUUUAGGAUCAUUUAAAUCAGGAAUGAAUGGAUAAAAUGGAGUCUGCAGCAGGUAAAAUAGUGACCACUCAUAGCUACUCCACAGAACCCCAGUCUAGAAAAAGCACAAAGUGUUUUUCAUUUUAACUCAGAGGAAAAUCCCCACAGGUUGAAACAUCCUGGUCAGAUUUGUAUAUUUUCAGGCCUGCAGCCAAACUGCUUCAUCAGCGAUUAAAGGUCAGAACUCACAUUAUUUAUUAGCAAAAAAGAACAAAGUCGUAUAAAGUAUUAAAUUAGCAUCCAUGAUCCAACCAGUAGGUUGAAACCAGUUUGGUGUUUUUAGCAGCCAGUCUGCAGAAAAACAAAACCGUUAAUCCUCUUUUCAUCACUUCUUUUAAAGGUUGAAUACGACCCAGAUGAAUUUACUGAAACAUCUUCCAGGAAGAAGCACAUUUCCAGGUGAACGUCCUUCACAGUCCAGCGGCAGUAAAUACAGUGCAAAGGGAGGAGAAGGUGGGUUGGAUUUAUUCACCUGGAGGAGUUUAAACCACAACAAGCACCUCCGCUUCAAGUUACUGCUGGAAAAACUGAACCAAAAGAGAAAAACCUCCAAUAACUUAAGAGGAUCCGGGCGGGCGGACUCCGGCUCCUGGCUCUGCUCUCCGUGGGACGUGGCCACCGCCUCGUACUCGGCCGCCACCGGGCCGCUAGGAGCCUGGCAACGAGAGGAAAACAGGAUGACGGCGGCUGGAAGGUGGGCGCUUCCUGCAGGGGGCGCCAGAGCAAAACAACAAACACAAACCAGCAGCUACUAGAACCCGUCUACCUGGAAGAACACGGCACAAUCCAACUCAGACCGGGUAAAUAAUCCAGCACCAAACCGUCACUCAGUCUGCCCCAACGGGCCUUCAUCACAUGAUGAUGAGGAGGAUCUGAGGGGCGUUUCUGCUCCAGCUUCAUCACAUGAUGAUGAGGAGGAUCUGAGGGGCGUUUCUGCUCCAGCUUCAUCACAUGAUGAUGAUGAGGAGGAUCUGAGGGGCGUUUCUGCUCCAGCUUCAUCACAUGAUGAUGAGGAGGAUAUGAGGGGCGUUUCUGCUCCAGCUUCAUCACAUGAUGAUGAUGAGGAGGAUCUGAGGGGCGUUUCUGCACCAGCUUCAUCACAUGAUGAUGAUGAGGAGGAUCUGAGGGGCGUUUCUGCACCAGCUUCAUCACAUGAUGAUGAUGAGGAGGAUCUGAGGGGCGUUUCUGCUCCAGCUUCAUCACAUGAUGAUGAGGAGGAUCUGAGGGGCGUUUCUGCUCCAGCUUCAUCACAUGAUGAUGAGGAGGAUCUGAGGGGCGUUUCUGCUCCAGCUUCAUCACGUGAUGAUGAGGAGGAUCUGAGGGGCGUUUCUGCUCCAGCUUCAUCACAUGAUGAUGAGGAGGAUCUGAGGGGCGUUUCUGCUCCAGCUUCAUCACAUGAUGAUGAGGAGGAUCUGAGGGGCGUUUCUGCUCCAGCUUCAUCACAUGAUGAUGAGGAGGAUCUGAGGGGCGUUUCUGCUCCAGCUUCAUCACAAUCAACCAACCUGAUUCAUUCCAGCCGUUCAAACCCAAACAUGAUGCAGAAUUAUUGGAUUAUUAUUAACUAUCAAUAAGUGAUGAGACAUGAUCCCGGAAAAUGUAAUAUAUUGAUAAUAAUACAAGUUUGUCAGAAACCAAUAAACCACUAUUAUGUCACAGUCCAUCUUAUUUUCAAUCUUGUAAUUGUUAAUGUUAUUUAUUUUUCCAAGAGUUUAGAUUUUUUUAUUUUCCAUCACUUUUUUCAUUUUGUUUUUGUCUCUUUUUUUCUUAUUCUGUAUUAAUUUAGUAACUUUACAGAACAUUUUAAUACCCAAAAAGCUUUUAUUUUGUUUUUGUUGUGUACUUAGUUAUUUUAACCUUUUUGUUUCCUCUUUAACUAAAUCAGAGUCUUCUUCAGUUUGGGACAAACUUUUUAUUUCUUCCCUUUUUUAACCGUUGUUUCUAAUUUCCUCUGUUCAGUAAAAAAACUGACGUCUCCCAGAAAGAGUCCUGAUGUAAGAAACCAGUUCAACUUUACUGUUAUGACUUCAAUAAGUCUGAUUGGAACAAACCACUAGAGGGGGUGAAACCACAGAGAAGCACGGUGGUGGCAGCAUCAUGCAACUGGAAGUUCUGCCUUGCAGGAGGACGAGUCUUUAAGCUUCUGUUCAAAAUGAGAAAUCUGACUUUGGAGCAUCUUUGUUCUCAAUAAAUUUAGAAAAUAAAUAUUAAGGUUGCAUCAAC